Long non-coding RNA from Lolium rigidum, 1679 nucleotides. RefSeq lists it as uncharacterized. The transcript has 8 exons. The record is from RefSeq and is a predicted model, not a curated record. Lineage: Eukaryota; Viridiplantae; Streptophyta; Magnoliopsida; Poales; Poaceae.
AAAGCUCUAGUGUAUGAGUUCAUGCCCCGAGGAGACUUACAUAGAUUACUGAAUUCAGCUCAAGACCAUGAGGGCUCUUUAGACUUCAUACACAUUACAGUGGCUCAAAGGCUAAGCAUUGUUUUGGAUGUAGCAGAUGCGUAUCUACAACAUAACAACCAAGGAACUAUUGUUCAUUGUCAUAUGAAGCCUAGCAAUAUUCUUUUGGAUGAUACUAUGACAACUCAUGUUGGAGAUUUUGGUCUUUGAUUGCAAUAAAUGGAACUAUUGGAUAUGCUGCUCCAGAAUGUGCAACACGUGGUCAUGUUUUGACUGCUAGCGAUGUCUAUAGCUUUGGAAUUGUUGUACUUGAAAUGUUCUUACGGAAGAGGCCUACAGAUGCUUCGUUGUCUAUGAAGAAUGGGUAUGGUAUACACUCUGCUAACCAGUGUGCUCCUAAGUAAUACGUGUUCUUCAGAGAAAGGGACUUUUCGCACAGACAGAUCAAAGGAACAUUAACCAGUGAGGCUGAAGGCACAUGCUCUCAUCUCUGGAGAUGCUUCUCAAAAUUAUCCAAAAAUUGUGGCCUCCUCCUUACGAUCAUCAGGUGUAACAGCCCAAGGUCAGCCUGUGUGUUCGGUGCCGGUGGCUUGGAAGAUACAAAAGUGUAGGAGUAGAAGCAGUGCAAGGAAGACGUGGCCGUGUGGGAGCAGAAGCAGUAUAAGACUGUCGCUUCGGGCAGCUAUUGCACUGUGCUCCGCCACUGUGCUCGCCUGCACCAUUGUCGAGCAAUGGAGAACUAAGGUGCUCGGUUCCCCAUCAAGGCCUUCGCCUUCAGGAGGGCUCCCGGAUAGCAGUCAGGAGCGCGGCGCACCUGCCCGACCAUUGGAGCAGUGCAGUUCAGUUCAUGGCAGAAUUCUCCUAGACCUUUGGCCUCCUCUGCACCGCUACCGUUAAUCUCUCUAGGUAGUGUCGCCUUCUUUCCCACCCUGGCAGCUGCCUCCAAUGGCAGAAUUAUCACAUUUGCUCUCGCUGGGCUGGAAAGGAAGUAUUCUUGCCAACAUUACUUUGGCGGGUCUGUAGCCAGAGUGCCAUUGGACUCCUGUAAAGCUAGCAAGGUACUUCUUAUUUAACAACAGGGUUGGCUUCCUUCUCCACUGUAAAUUUUCGUACGGUAUUCCAUUGAAACUGAGACUACAUUACAGAGGAACAUGAUGGGAUCUUAAUGAUCCAGCAAGUGGCACUCAUCUUGUUGAAAAACCAAAAGUUUGGGUGAAUCGCAAAGUGGUGGAUAGAAGUUGAUACCUUGACCAGAGGCUUUCAAAAUAUGGCAUAGCUAUCCUGGAGUAUCGCUUGGGCAACACGCUCUGCUUGUGCGGCUCGUCUAGGCAGAGCUUCCUCCCUGAUGAUUGCCUGGUCACCCAUGCUGCUUCGGUGAUGACUUUGUUUAAUCUGGGAUGACUUCUUGUUGCAUUUUCUUUUGAGGAAUCAGCCAAACCUCUGUUAUGUUUAAGGUAAUAUGACUGGCAAUGUUGUUAAUAGUACGAUGAUGACAUCCCGUGACUGUAUCGGUGUGCUGCUAGCAAAAACAAAUAAAUGAUCUCCUUGGCUUGAAAGUGUUAGGGCGUCAGCUCAUGCAAACGGAUCAAAAGAAUCUAUUUGUGCCCGCGUGGAUAAAAAAUAGGUCUGAUCCUAGGCCA